AUUGAACGCUGGCGGCAUGCCUUACACAUGCAAGUCGAACGGUAACAGGUUAAGCUGACGAGUGGCGAACGGGUGAGUAAUGUAUCGGAACGUGCCCAGUCGUGGGGGAUAACUACUCGAAAGAGUGGCUAAUACCGCAUACGACCUGAGGGUGAAAGCGGGGGACCGGUAAGGCCUCGCGCGAUUGGAGCGGCCGAUAUCAGAUUAGGUAGUUGGUAGGGUAAUGGCCUACCAAGCCGACGAUCUAUAGCUGGUCUGAGAGGAUGAUCAGCCACACUGGGACUGAGACACGGCCCAGACUCCUACGGGAGGCAGCAGUGGGGAAUAUUGGACAAUGGGCGAAAGCCUGAUCCAGCAAUACCGCGUGAGUGAUGAAGGCCUUAGGGUUGUAAAGCUCUUUUAGUAGGGAAGAUAAUGACGGUACCUACAGAAAAAGCCCCGGCUAACUCCGUGCCAGCAGCCGCGGUAAUGUCCGUCAUGU
This 481-nucleotide ribosomal RNA is filed under the name uncultured bacterium. RNAcentral describes it as "bacterial SSU rRNA". It matches the Rfam family "Bacterial small subunit ribosomal RNA", at positions 30 to 532 of the family's 1533-position model. The record is from RNAcentral.